CUUGACCGAGCCCAGCCACAGCGGCGGUCGCCCGUCGCGGUCCUGCCCGUAGGUGUUGAGCAGCGCCUGCGCCUC
Molecule: antisense RNA, 75 nt
Filed under: Lentzea jiangxiensis
Lineage: Bacteria; Bacillati; Actinomycetota; Actinomycetes; Pseudonocardiales; Pseudonocardiaceae
Description: ASpks TB sRNA
Rfam family: ASpks TB sRNA
Source: RNAcentral